This 389-nucleotide ribosomal RNA is filed under the name Pycnococcaceae sp. RNAcentral describes it as "partial small subunit ribosomal RNA". It matches the Rfam family "Eukaryotic small subunit ribosomal RNA", at positions 582 to 975 of the family's 1831-position model. Lineage: Eukaryota; Viridiplantae; Chlorophyta; Pseudoscourfieldiophyceae; Pseudoscourfieldiales; Pycnococcaceae. The record is from RNAcentral.
AUUCCAGCUCCAAUAGCGUAUAUUUAAGCUGUUGCGGUUAAAAAGCUCGUAGUUGGAUUUCGGGCGUGGAGGUUCGGUCCGCCGUUUCGGUGUGCACUGUCUUUCUGCGUCUUUCUGUCGGGGACGCGCUUCUGGCCUUAAUUGGCUGGGACGUGGAUUCGACGAGGUUACUUUGAAAAAAUUAGAGUGUUCAAAGCAAGCUAAAGCUCUGAAUACAUUAGCAUGGAAUAACGCGAGAGGACUCGGUCCUUAUUUUGUUGGUCUUCAAGGAUGGAGUAAUGGUUAAGAGGGACAGUUGGGGGCAUUCGUAUUUCAUUGCUAGAGGUGAAAUUCUUGGAUUUAUGAAAGACGAACUUCUGCGAAAGCAUUUGCCAAGGAUGUUUUCAUUA